AGUGCCGGCCAUGGUGUGGCUGCCCUGCAGAGGGGCUUGUGCCGCUGCUGGACUGACAGCCUUUAGAGGCUUCGCUUGUCUCGGCAGGGCAGGUCUGGCAAACCACGGACAGACCAGGCACAUGGGACCAAGCCGGAACCUCCUGCUCAACGGGAAGUCCUACCCCACCAAAGUGCGCCUGAUCCGGGGGGGCUCCCUGCCCCCAGUCAAGCGGCGGCGGAUGAACUGGAUCGACGCCCCUGAUGACGUGUUCUACAUGGCUACAGAGGAGACCAGGUAGGGCCUUCCCAGGGCAGGCGGGAGGGCUCCGCACAGCGUCCCGGCCCUCACCACCACCUCUGCCCACAGGAAGAUCCGCAAGCUGCUUUCAUCCUCGGAAACCAAGCGUGCUGCCCGCCGGCCCUACAAGCCCAUCGCCCUGCGUCAGAGCCAGGCCCUGCCGCUGCGGCCACCGCCACCUGCGCCUGUCAACGACGAGCCCAUCGUCAUCGAGGACUAGGGGCCGCCCCCACCUGCGGCCGCCCCCCACCCCUCGCCCGCCCACACGGCCCCUUCCCAGCCAGCCCGCCGCCCGCCCCUCA
Molecule: small RNA, 581 nt
Filed under: Pongo abelii (Sumatran orangutan)
Lineage: Eukaryota; Metazoa; Chordata; Mammalia; Primates; Hominidae
Description: processed transcript
Source: RNAcentral